RNAcentral lists this ribosomal RNA (460 nucleotides) under uncultured bacterium. Its description in RNAcentral is "partial 16S ribosomal RNA". It matches the Rfam family "Bacterial small subunit ribosomal RNA", at positions 338 to 795 of the family's 1533-position model. The record is from RNAcentral.
CCUACGGGCGGCAGCAGUGAGGAAUAUUGGACAAUGGCCGGAAGGCUGAACCAGCCAUGCCGCGUGAAUGUCAGUGCCCUAUGGGCGUUAAACUUCUUUUGUGCGGGAGCAAUAAUGGUCACGUGUGGCCAGACGAGAGUACCGUACGAAUAAGCAUCGGCUAACUCCGUGACAGCAGCCGCGGUAAUACGGGGGAUGCAAGCGUUAUCCGGAUUUAUUGGGUUUAAAGGGUGCGUAGGCUGUGAGGUAAGUCAGCGGUGAAAUGCCCCCGCUCAACGGGGUGAAGUGCCAUUGAUACUGCGUGGCUGGAAUGCGGAUGCGGUGGGAGGAAGGUGUGGUGUAGCGGUGAAAUGCAUAGAUAUCACACAGAACACCGAUUGCGAAGGCAUCUCACGAAUCCGCGAUUGACGCUGAUGCACGAAAGCGUGGGUAGCAAACAGGAUUAGAUACCCGGGUAGUC